AAGUCGAGCGAACAGACGAGGAGCUUGCUCCUCUGACGUUAGCGGCGGACGGGUGAGUAACACGUGGAUAACCUACCUAUAAGACUGGGAUAACUUCGGGAAACCGGAGCUAAUACCGGAUAAUAUAUUGAACCGCAUGGUUCAAUAGUGAAAGACGGUUUUGCUGUCACUUAUAGAUGGAUCCGCGCCGCAUUAGCUAGUUGGUAAGGUAACGGCUUACCAAGGCAACGAUGCGUAGCCGACCUGAGAGGGUGAUCGGCCACACUGGAACUGAGACACGGUCCAGACUCCUACGGGAGGCAGCAGUAGGGAAUCUUCCGCAAUGGGCGAAAGCCUGACGGAGCAACGCCGCGUGAAUGAUGAAGGUCUUCGGAUCGUAAAACUCUGUUAUUAGGGAAGAACAAAUGUGUAAGUAACUAUGCACGUCUUGACGGUACCUAAUCAGAAAGCCACGGCUAACUACGUGCCAGCAGCCGCGGUAAUACGUAGGUGGCAAGCGUUAUCCGGAAUUAUUGGGCGUAAAGCGCGCGUAGGCGGUUUUUUAAGUCUGAUGUGAAAGCCCACGGCUCAACCGUGGAGGGUCAUUGGAAACUGGAAAACUUGAGUGCAGAAGAGGAAAGUGGAAUUCCAUGUGUAGCGGUGAAAUGCGCAGAGAUAUGGAGGAACACCAGUGGCGAAGGCGACUUUCUGGUCUGUAACUGACGCUGAUGUGCGAAAGCGUG
RNAcentral lists this ribosomal RNA (722 nucleotides) under uncultured Staphylococcus sp. Its description in RNAcentral is "bacterial SSU rRNA". It matches the Rfam family "Bacterial small subunit ribosomal RNA", at positions 59 to 763 of the family's 1533-position model. The record is from RNAcentral. Lineage: Bacteria; Bacillati; Bacillota; Bacilli; Caryophanales; Staphylococcaceae.